UGGCUCAUCUGAUCAAAGAAAAAAAUGGUACCCGACUUCAAUGUCGAGUACCAGUUCCUUGCUGCUCCCUUCAGGGUGGAUGGGAAAGCUCGGCACAGAAUGGCGUCUGGCGUGCCAUGGAGCAGCAUCAUUAUCUGGAAAGCUUCCAAGUGGUCGAUCGGGUCUGAGGUCCCGUCGUAGCUUUCGAAUUGAGGAAGCUUGAAGUUUGGUGG
Molecule: long non-coding RNA, 212 nt
Filed under: Elaeis guineensis (African oil palm)
Lineage: Eukaryota; Viridiplantae; Streptophyta; Magnoliopsida; Arecales; Arecaceae
Description: long non-coding RNA (EGUI_LNC062763)
Source: RNAcentral